UUGUUAAUCAUACUUCGAUGAAGAUUCCAAUGUGCACCUAUAGGAAGCUCGCUUCACUUAGAACAUCGAAUAUGCCAAGAAACCCGAGGCGAUCAUUCUUUGGGUGUCCAUAGGGUUACCACACUGCAACUAUUUCAAAUGGGCAAAUACCAGUGAGGAAAGAGAAAAAGAACUCGUAAAGAUAGAAAUUGAGUUGUUAAGAAAUGAGGAAGUGCUU
Molecule: long non-coding RNA, 217 nt
Organism: Juglans microcarpa x Juglans regia
Lineage: Eukaryota; Viridiplantae; Streptophyta; Magnoliopsida; Fagales; Juglandaceae
Exons: 2
Source: RefSeq, a predicted model, not a curated record